RNAcentral lists this ribosomal RNA (253 nucleotides) under uncultured bacterium. Its description in RNAcentral is "partial 16S ribosomal RNA". It matches the Rfam family "Bacterial small subunit ribosomal RNA", at positions 524 to 776 of the family's 1533-position model. The record is from RNAcentral.
UACGUAGGGUGCAAGCGUUGUCCGGAAUUAUUGGGCGUAAAGAGCUCGUAGGCGGCCUGUUGCGUCCGCCGUGAAAUCCCGGGGCUUAACCCCGGGCGUGCAGUGGAUACGGGCUGGCUGGAGGCAGGCAGGGGAGAACGGAAUUCCCGGUGUAGCGGUGAAAUGCGCAGAUAUCGGGAGGAACACCGGUGGCGAAGGCGGUUCUCUGGGCCUGUACUGACGCUGAGGAGCGAAAGCGUGGGGAGCGAACAGG